This 365-nucleotide ribosomal RNA is filed under the name uncultured bacterium. RNAcentral describes it as "partial 16S ribosomal RNA". It matches the Rfam family "Bacterial small subunit ribosomal RNA", at positions 338 to 700 of the family's 1533-position model. The record is from RNAcentral.
CCUACGGGAGGCAGCAGUGAGGAAUAUUGGGCAAUGGACGAGAGUCUGAACAAGCCAAGUAGCGUGAAGGAUGACUGCCCGAUGGGGUGUAAACUUCUGUUAUAGGGGAAUAAAAUGUUCCACGUGUGGGAUGUUGUAUGGACCAUAUGAAUAAGGAUCGGCUAACUCCGUGCCAGCAGCCGCGGUAAUACGGAGGAUCCGCUCGUUAUCCGGAUUUAUUGGGGUGAAAGGGAGCGUAGGGGGAUUGUUAAGUCAGUUGUGAAGGUUUGCGGCUCAACCGUAAAAUUGCAGUUGAAACUGGCAGUCUUGAGUACAGUAGCGGUGGUCGUCCUUCGUUGUGUAGCGGUGCCAUGCUUCGAUUUCAC